RNAcentral lists this ribosomal RNA (1403 nucleotides) under uncultured bacterium. RNAcentral's name for it is "bacterial SSU rRNA". It matches the Rfam family "Bacterial small subunit ribosomal RNA". The record is from RNAcentral.
CUGGCUCAGGAUGAACGCUGGCGGCGUGCUUAACACAUGCAAGUCGAACGGAGAUGUUAUGUGAGCGGAGAGUGCUUGCACUUAACAAUCUUUUAACAUCUUAGUGGCGGACGGGUGAGUAACGCGUGGGUAACCUGCCUCAUACAGGGGGAUAACACUUAGAAAUAGGUGCUAAUACCGCAUAAGCGCACAGAGUCGCAUGACUCAGUGUGAAAAACUCCGGUGGUAUGAGAUGGACCCGCGUCUGAUUAGCUAGUUGGUGAGGUAACGGCCCACCAAGGCGACGAUCAGUAGCCGGCCUGAGAGGGUGAACGGCCACAUUGGGACUGAGACACGGCCCAAACUCCUACGGGAGGCAGCAGUGGGGAAUAUUCGUCAAUGGGGGAAACCCUGAACGAGCAAUGCCGCGUGAGUGAUGACGGUCCUCUGGAUUGUAAAACUCUGUUGUUUAGGAAAAAUUGUACAGAUAGGAAAUGAUCUGUGCUUGAUGGUACUAUUCAAGAAAGCCACGGCUAACUACGUGCCAGCAGCCGCGGUAAUACGUAGGUGGCGAGCGUUAUCCGGAUUUAUUGGGCGUAAAGCGUCCGCAGACGGUUUGUUAAGUCUAGAAUCAAAGCCCGGAGCUUAACUUCGGUUCGUUUUAGAAACUGGCAGACUUGAGUAUGGUAGAGGCAAGUGGAAUUUCUAGUGUAGCGGUAGAAUGCGUAGAUAUUAGAAGGAACACCAGUGGCGAAGGCGACUUGCUGGGCCAUUACUGACGUUCAUGGACGAAAGCGUGGGGAGCAAAUAGGAUUAGAUACCCUGGUAGUCCACGCUGUAAACGAUGAUUACUAGGUGUGGGUGGACUGACCCCAUCCGUGCCGGAGUUAACACAAUAAGUAAUCCACCUGGGGAGUACGACCGCAAGGUUGAAACUCAAAGGAAUUGACGGGGGCCCGCACAAGCAGUGGAGUAUGUGGUUUAAUUCGAAGCAACGCGAAGAACCUUACCAGGUCUUGACAUCGAGUGACGUACUUAGAGAUAAGUACUUCCUUCGGGACACGAAGACAGGUGGUGCAUGGUUGUCGUCAGCUCGUGUCGUGAGAUGUUGGGUUAAGUCCCGCAACGAGCGCAACCCUUAUCAUUAGUUGCUACGCAAGAGCACUCUAGCGAGACUGCCGUUGACAAAACGGAGGAAGGUGGGGACGACGUCAAAUCAUCAUGCCCCUUAUAUCUUGGGCUACACACGUACUACAAUGGCGCAAACAAAGGGUCGCAACCUCGCGAGAGGAAGCCAAUCCCAAAAAUGCGUCCCAGUUCGGACUGCAGGCUGCAACUCGCCUGCACGAAGUUGGAAUUGCUAGUAAUCGCAGAUCAGCAUGCUGCGGUGAAUACGUUCCCGGGCCUUGCACUCACCGCCCGUA